Molecule: ribosomal RNA, 491 nt
Filed under: uncultured bacterium
Lineage: Bacteria
Description: partial 16S ribosomal RNA
Rfam family: Bacterial small subunit ribosomal RNA
Source: RNAcentral
GUGAACGCUGGCGGUAGGCCUAACACAUGCAAGUCGAACGGCAGCACAGUAAGAGCUUGCUCUUACGGGUGGCGAGUGGCGGACGGGUGAGGAAUACAUCGGAAUCUACUUUUUCGUGGGGGAUAACGUAGGGAAACUUACGCUAAUACCGCAUACGACCUACGGGUGAAAGCAGGGGAUCUUCGGACCCUGCGCGAUUGAAUGAGCCGAUGUCGGAUUAGCUAGUUGGCGGGGUAAAGGCCCACCAAGGCGACGAUCCGUAGCUGGUCUGAGAGGAUGAUCAGCCACACUGGAACUGAGACACGGUCCAGACUCCUACGGGAGGCAGCAGUGGGGAAUAUUGGACAAUGGGCGCAAGCCUGAUCCAGCCAUACCGCGUGGGUGAAGAAGGCCCUCGGGUUGUAAAGCCCUUUUGUUGGGAAAGAAAAGCAGCAGGUUAAUACCCCGCUGUUCUGACGGUACCCAAAGAAUAAGCACCGGCUAACUUCGUG